RNAcentral lists this ribosomal RNA (589 nucleotides) under uncultured Cortinarius. RNAcentral describes it as "eukaryotic LSU rRNA". The stretch from base 218 to 371 matches the Rfam family "5.8S ribosomal RNA". Lineage: Eukaryota; Fungi; Basidiomycota; Agaricomycetes; Agaricales; Cortinariaceae. The record is from RNAcentral.
CUUCCGUAGGGUGAACCUGCGGAAGGAUCAUUAUUGAAAAUAAAUCUGAUGGGGUUGUUGCUGGCUCUCCGGGGAGCAUGUGCACGCCUUGUCAUCUUUAUAUAUCUCCACCUGUGCACCUUUUGUAGACAUCCUUUCCAGGUUGUCUAUGUUUGAUUCUUCAUGUGCCCCAAAUAAAUGUAUGUCAAUAGAAUGUUGUGAUAAAUAAAAUCUAUACAACUUUCAGCAACGGAUCUCUUGGCUCUCGCAUCGAUGAAGAACGCAGCGAAAUGCGAUAAGUAAUGUGAAUUGCAGAAUUCAGUGAAUCAUCGAAUCUUUGAACGCACCUUGCGCUCCUUGGUAUUCCGAGGAGCAUGCCUGUUUGAGUGUCAUUAAUAUUAUAUAUCAAACCUGUGUGUUUGGAUGUGGGGGUUGCUGGCCUCUUUUUGAAGAGGUCAGCUCUCCUGAAAUGCAUUAGCAGAACAACCUGUUUUGUUCAUUGGUGUGAUAAAUAUCUACGCUAUAGAACCGUGAAGGCAGUUCAGCUUCCUAACCGUCCUUUGGGACAAUUCAUUAUCUAUGUGACCUCAAAUCAGUAGACGCCGGGUCC